RNAcentral lists this ribosomal RNA (482 nucleotides) under uncultured bacterium. RNAcentral's name for it is "partial 16S ribosomal RNA". It matches the Rfam family "Bacterial small subunit ribosomal RNA", at positions 30 to 507 of the family's 1533-position model. The record is from RNAcentral.
AUUGAACGCUGGCGGCAUGCCUUACACAUGCAAGUCGAACGGUAACGGGCCUUCGGGUGCCGACGAGUGGCGAACGGGGGAGUAAUACAUCGGAACGUGCCCGAUCGUGGGGGAUAACGAGGCGAAAGCUUUGCUAAUACCGCAUACGAUCUACGGAUGAAAGCAGGGGACCGCAAGGCCUUGCGCGGACGGAGCGGCCGAUGGCAGAUUAGGUAGUUGGUGGGAUAAAAGCUUACCAAGCCGACGAUCUGUAGCUGGUCUGAGAGGAUGAUCAGCCACACUGGGACUGAGACACGGCCCAGACUCCUACGGGAGGCAGCAGUGGGGAAUUUUGGACAAUGGGCGCAAGCCUGAUCCAGCCAUGCCGCGUGCAGGAUGAAGGCCUUCGGGUUGUAAACUGCUUUUGUACGGAACGAAAAGCCUUCUUUUAAUACAGGAGGGUCAUGACGGUACCGUAAGGAUAAGCACCGGCUAACUACGUG